AUUUCUUAUGGUGAAAUUAUCACAUUGACUUUUCGCGUUGAAGGUGGGCUGUGCUCUAAGGGUUU
RNAcentral lists this transfer RNA (65 nucleotides) under Dosinia altior. RNAcentral describes it as "tRNA-Glu". Lineage: Eukaryota; Metazoa; Mollusca; Bivalvia; Venerida; Veneridae. The record is from RNAcentral.